GACGACCGCUCGCGGCGAGCUUAACACAUGCCAGUCGAACGGAAAGGCCCUGCUUUUGUGGGGUGCUCGAGUGGCGAACGGGUGAGUAACACUUGUGUAACCUGCCCUUGACUUUGGGAUAACUUCAGGAAACUGGGUCUACUACCGGAUCCGACCUCCUGCUGCAUGGUGGGGGUUGGAAAGUUUCGGCGGUUGGGGAUGGACUAGCGGUUUAUCAGCUUGUUGGUGGGGUAGUGGCUUACCAAUGCUCUGACGGGUAUCCGGCGUGAGAGGGUGACCGUCCAUAUUGCGACUGAGAUACGGACGCAGCUCCUACGGGAGGCAGCAGUGGGGAAUAUUGCACAAGGAGCGAAAGCCUGAUGCAGCAACGCUGCGUGCGGGAUGACGGCCUUCGGGUUGUAAACCGCUUUCGCCUGGGACGAAGCGUGAGUGACGGUAAUGGGUAAAGAAGAACCAACUAACUACGUG
This 468-nucleotide ribosomal RNA is filed under the name uncultured bacterium. RNAcentral describes it as "partial 16S ribosomal RNA". It matches the Rfam family "Bacterial small subunit ribosomal RNA", at positions 28 to 507 of the family's 1533-position model. The record is from RNAcentral.